GAUGAAGAACGCAGCGAAAUGCGAUAAGUAAUGUGAAUUGCAGAAUUCAGUGAAUCAUCGAAUCUUUGAACGCACAUUGCGCCCGCCAGCAUUCUGGCGGGCAUGCCUGUUCGAGCGUCAUUUCAACCCUCGAGCCCCCCCGGGGGCCUCGGUGUUGGGGGACGGCACACCAGCCGCCCCCGAAAUGCAGUGGCGACCUCGCCGCAGCCUCCCCUGCGUAGUAGCACACACCUCGCACCGGAGCGCGGAGACGGUCACGCCGUAAAACGCCCAACUUCUUAGAGUUGACCUCGGAUCAGGUAGGAAUACACGCUGAACUUAAGCAUAUCAAUAAGCGGAGGA
Molecule: unclassified non-coding RNA, 342 nt
Filed under: soil metagenome
Description: partial contains 5.8S ribosomal RNA, internal transcribed spacer 2, and large subunit ribosomal RNA
Rfam family: 5.8S ribosomal RNA (bases 1-120)
Source: RNAcentral